CUACGGGGGGCAGCAGUGAGGAAUAUUGCACAAUGGGGGGAACCCUGAUGCAGCAACGCCGCGUGGAGGAUGACGCAUUUCGGUGUGUAAACUCCUUUUAUAUGUCAAGAAAAUGACGGUAGCAUAUGAAUAAGCACCGGCUAACUCCGUGCCAGCAGCCGCGGUAAUACGGAGGGUGCAAGCGUUACUCGGAAUCACUGGGCGUAAAGGACGCGUAGGCGGGUUGGAAAGUCAGGUGUGAAAUCCUACAGCUUAACUGUAGAACUGCACUUGAAGCUUCUAAUCUAGAGUAUGGGAGGGGGAGAUGGAAUUAGUGGUGUAGGGGUAAAAUCCGUAGAUAUCACUAGGAAUACCUAAGGCGAAGGCGAUCUCCUGGAACAUUACUGACGCUAAGGCGUGAAAGCGUGGGGAGCAAACACGAUUAGAUACCCCCGUAGUC
RNAcentral lists this ribosomal RNA (439 nucleotides) under uncultured bacterium. RNAcentral describes it as "partial 16S ribosomal RNA". It matches the Rfam family "Bacterial small subunit ribosomal RNA", at positions 339 to 795 of the family's 1533-position model. The record is from RNAcentral.